GCUUGAGUGGUGGAAUUGGCAGACACGCAGGACUUAGGAUCCUGUGCCGCAAGGCGUAAGGGUUCGACCCCCUUCUCAAGCA
This 82-nucleotide transfer RNA is filed under the name Opitutales bacterium. Its description in RNAcentral is "tRNA-Leu". It matches the Rfam family "tRNA". From Rfam's summary of the family: Transfer RNA (tRNA) molecules are approximately 80 nucleotides in length. The record is from RNAcentral. Lineage: Bacteria; Pseudomonadati; Verrucomicrobiota; Opitutia; Opitutales.